UCUACGGUUCAUUUUACAUCA
This 21-nucleotide non-coding RNA is filed under the name Caenorhabditis elegans. The record is from RNAcentral. Lineage: Eukaryota; Metazoa; Nematoda; Chromadorea; Rhabditida; Rhabditidae.